This 245-nucleotide ribosomal RNA is filed under the name uncultured bacterium. RNAcentral's name for it is "partial 16S ribosomal RNA". It matches the Rfam family "Bacterial small subunit ribosomal RNA", at positions 524 to 768 of the family's 1533-position model. The record is from RNAcentral.
UACAGAGGUCUCGAGCGUUAAUCGGAGUCACUGGGCUUAAAGGGUGCGUAGGCGGGCCUGUAAGUGCCUUGUGAAAUCCCACGGCUCAACCGUGGAAUGGCUCGGCAUACUGCGGGUCUUGAGGUCGGUAGGGGUCGCUGGAACUCUAGGUGGAGCGGUGAAAUGCGUAGAUAUCUAGAGGAACGCCAAAGGUGAAGACAGGCGACUGGGCCGAUUCUGACGCUGAGGCACGAAAGCGUGGGGAG